GAGUAUAAAGGAAAAUAAGAUUGAGAAUUGGAAUGAGGAUGAGAUUGAACUUGUUUUCACUUUCAAGUUUUUGUUUGUACUUUUGUAACUCCUCCCUCCUUCUCAUCCUCUCCCCUCUCAAUCUCAUAUCCACUCUCAUUCU
RNAcentral lists this microRNA precursor (142 nucleotides) under Prunus dulcis (almond). Its description in RNAcentral is "sRNA ncRNA". The record is from RNAcentral. Lineage: Eukaryota; Viridiplantae; Streptophyta; Magnoliopsida; Rosales; Rosaceae.